Molecule: ribosomal RNA, 448 nt
Filed under: uncultured Microbacteriaceae bacterium
Lineage: Bacteria; Bacillati; Actinomycetota; Actinomycetes; Micrococcales; Microbacteriaceae
Description: bacterial SSU rRNA
Rfam family: Bacterial small subunit ribosomal RNA
Source: RNAcentral
UCACCUACGGGGGGCUGCAGUGGGGAAUAUUGCACAAUGGGCGCAAGCCUGAUGCAGCAACGCCGCGUGAGGGAUGACGGCCUUCGGGUUGUAAACCUCUUUUAGUAGGGAAGAAGCGAAAGUGACGGUACCUGCAGAAAAAGCACCGGCUAACUACGUGCCAGCAGCCGCGGUAAUACGUAGGGUGCAAGCGUUGUCCGGAAUUAUUGGGCGUAAAGAGCUCGUAGGCGGCUUGUCGCGUCUGCUGUGAAAUCCCGAGGUUCAACCUCGGGCCUGCAGUGGGUACGGGCAGGCUAGAGUGCGGUAGGGGAGAUUGGAAUUCCUGGUGUAGCGGUGGAAUGCGCAGAUAUCAGGAGGAACACCGAUGGCGAAGGCAGAUCUCUGGGCCGUAACUGACGCUGAGGAGCGAAAGCAUGGGGAGCGAACAGGAUUAGAUACCCGAGUAGUC